CCUACGGGUGGCAGCAGUGAGGAAUAUUGGUCAAUGGGCGCGAGCCUGAACCAGCCAAGUCGCGUGAAGGAGGACUGCCCUGCGGGUUGUAAACUUCUUUUAUAAAGGAAUAAAGUGUGGCACGUGUGCCCUUUUGUAUGUACUUUAUGAAUAAGGAUCGGCUAACUCCGUGCCAGCAGCCGCGGUAAUACGGAGGAUCCGAGCGUUAUCCGGAUUUAUUGGGUUUAAAGGGAGCGUAGGUGGGUUGUUAAGUCAGUUGUGAAAGUUUGCGGCUCAACCGCGAAAUGGCAAUUGAUACUGGCAGCCUGGAGUGCAGUUGAGGUAGGCGGAAUGCGUGGUGUAGCGGUGAAAUGCUUAGAUAUCACGAAGAACUCCGAUUGCGAAGGCAGCUUACUAAACUGCAACUGACACUGAGGCUCGAAAGUGUGGGGAUCAAACAGGAUUAGAUACCCCUGUAGUC
Molecule: ribosomal RNA, 460 nt
Filed under: uncultured bacterium
Lineage: Bacteria
Description: partial 16S ribosomal RNA
Rfam family: Bacterial small subunit ribosomal RNA
Source: RNAcentral